GAGUUUGAUCAUGGCUCAGAUUGAACGCUGGCGGCAUGCUUUACACAUGCAAGUCGAGCGGCAGCGCGGGGGCAACCCUGGCGGCGAGCGGCGAACGGGUGAGUAAUGCAUCGGAACGUGUCCCGUAGUGGGGGAUAACGCCGCGAAAGCGGCGCUAAUACCGCAUAUGCUCUACGGAGGAAAGCAGGGGACCUGAGAGGGCCUUGUGCUGGGGGAGCGGCCGAUGUCCGAUUAGCUUGUUGGUGGGGUAACGGCCUACCAAGGCUGCGAUCGGUAGCUGGUCUGAGAGGAUGAUCAGCCACACUGGGACUGAGACACGGCCCAGACUCCUACGGGAGGCAGCAGUGGGGAAUUUUGGACAAUGGGGGCAACCCUGAUCCAGCCAUGCCGCGUGCGGGAAGAAGGCCUUCGGGUUGUAAACCGCUUUUAGCCGGGAAGAAAAGUCUACGGAUAACACCCGUGGGUUUUGACGGUACCGGCGGAAUAAGCACCGGCUAACUACGUGCCAGCAGCCGCGGUAAUACGUAGGGUGCGAGCGUUAAUCGGAAUUACUGGGCGUAAAGCGUGCGCAGGCGGUUCGUUGUGUCGGUGGUGAAAGCCCCGGGCUUAACCUGGGAAUGGCCAUGGAAACUGGCGAACUGGAGUGUGGCAGAGGGGGGUGGAAUUCCGCGUGUAGCAGUGAAAUG
Molecule: ribosomal RNA, 686 nt
Filed under: uncultured bacterium
Lineage: Bacteria
Description: bacterial SSU rRNA
Rfam family: Bacterial small subunit ribosomal RNA
Source: RNAcentral